ACACAUUAUUCAUUUCCCCCUUGGUGUAGACAACACAGCAGUACACCAGGGCCCCUCUGUCUGCUGGUGAUUGGAGGAGAAAGCAAGCCAUCUAUUGCAGAAACAUGCCAGCGUCUUUUUUUAAUGGAAGAUCAUCUAUGAAAAUAGGAAAACGGAAGAGGAUCUUCUACAAUGCUACUCAAAGCCAAGAAAUAUUUUUAGCAUAGUUAAUAACAGAUCGAGGGAUAAGAUAGUUGAGAAAUUCAUUCUCAAAAGUAUAAAAGGCGUGACUGUGA
Long non-coding RNA from Pan troglodytes (chimpanzee), 275 nucleotides. RefSeq lists it as uncharacterized. The record is from RefSeq and is a predicted model, not a curated record. Lineage: Eukaryota; Metazoa; Chordata; Mammalia; Primates; Hominidae. The transcript is spliced from 2 exons.